CAGCGCAGCCUAACGGGGUUUUUCGUUUCGUGAGUUAACCCGCCAUUAUCGGCGGGUUUUUUAUUGUUCAUA
Molecule: small RNA, 72 nt
Filed under: Yersinia pestis KIM D27
Lineage: Bacteria; Pseudomonadati; Pseudomonadota; Gammaproteobacteria; Enterobacterales; Yersiniaceae
Description: suhB
Source: RNAcentral